RNAcentral lists this ribosomal RNA (492 nucleotides) under uncultured bacterium. RNAcentral describes it as "partial 16S ribosomal RNA". It matches the Rfam family "Bacterial small subunit ribosomal RNA", at positions 29 to 507 of the family's 1533-position model. The record is from RNAcentral.
AGUGAACGCUGGCGGUAGGCCUAACACAUGCAAGUCGAACGGCAGCACAGUAAGAGCUUGCUCUUACGGGUGGCGAGUGGCGGACGGGUGAGGAAUACAUCGUAAUCUACUUUUUCGUGGGGGAUAACGUAGGGAAACUUACGCUAAUACCGCAUACGACCUACGGGUGAAAGCAGGGGAUCUUCGGACCUUGCGCGAUUGAAUGAGCCGAUGUCGGAUUAGCUAGUUGGCGGGGUAAAGGCCCACCAAGGCGACGAUCCGUAGCUGGUCUGAGAGGAUGAUCAGCCACACUGGAACUGAGACACGGUCCAGACUCCUACGGGAGGCAGCAGUGGGGAAUAUUGGACAAUGGGCGCAAGCAUGAUCCAGCCAUACCGCGUGGGUGAAGAAGGCCUUCGGGUUGUAAAGCCCUUUUGUUGGGAAAGAAAAGCAGCAGGUUAAUACCCCGCUGUUCUGACGGUACCCAAAGAAUAAGCACCGGCUAACUUCGUG